GAUGAACGCUAGCUACAGGCUUAACACAUGCAAGUCGAGGGGUAGCAGGGUAGCAAUACCGCUGACGACCGGCGCACGGGUGAGUAACACGUAUCCAACCUUCCCAUAACUCGGGGAUAGCCUUUCGAAAGAAAGAUUAAUACCCGAUAGUACUUUGUCAAGGCAUCUUGAAAAAGUUAAAGAUUUAUUGGUUAUGGAUGGGGAUGCGUUCCAUUAGAUAGUUGGUGAGGUAACGGCUCACCAAGUCUUCGAUGGAUAGGGGUUCUGAUGAGCAGGGCCCCCACAUUGGUACUGAGACACGGACCAAACUCCUACGGGAGGCAGCAGUGAGGAAUAUUGGUCAAUGGGCGAGAGCCUGAACCAGCCAAGUAGCGUGAAGGAUGAAGGUCCUAUGGAUUGUAAACUUCUUUUAUAGUAGAAUAAAGUGAGCCACGUGUGGUUUUUUGUAUGUAUACUAUGAAUAAGGAUCGGCUAACUCCGUGCCAGCCGCCGCGGUAA
RNAcentral lists this ribosomal RNA (498 nucleotides) under uncultured bacterium. RNAcentral's name for it is "partial 16S ribosomal RNA". It matches the Rfam family "Bacterial small subunit ribosomal RNA", at positions 28 to 523 of the family's 1533-position model. The record is from RNAcentral.